Molecule: ribosomal RNA, 460 nt
Filed under: uncultured bacterium
Lineage: Bacteria
Description: partial 16S ribosomal RNA
Rfam family: Bacterial small subunit ribosomal RNA
Source: RNAcentral
CCUACGGGGGGCUGCAGUGGGGAAUAUUGGUCAAUGGCCGGAAGGCUGAACCAGCCAUGCCGCGUGAAGGUCAGUGCCCUAUGGGCGUUAAACUUCUUUUGUGCGGGAGCAAUAAUGGUCACGUGUGGCCAGACGAGAGUACCGUACGAAUAAGCAUCGGCUAACUCCGUGCCAGCAGCCGCGGUAAUACGGGGGGUGCAAGCGUUAUCCGGAUUUAUUGGGUUUAAAGGGUGCGUAGGCUGUGAGGUAAGUCAGCGGUGAAAUGCCCCCGCUCAACGGGGUGAAGUGCCAUUGAUACUGCCUGGCUGGAAUGCGGAUGCCGUGGGAGGAAUGUGUGGUGUAGCGGUGAAAUGCAUAGAUAUCACACAGAACACCGAUUGCGAAGGCAUCUCACGAAUCCGCGAUUGACGCUGAUGCACGAAAGCGUGGGUAUCAAACAGGAUUAGAUACCCUAGUAGUC